Molecule: ribosomal RNA, 1378 nt
Filed under: metagenome
Description: bacterial LSU rRNA
Rfam family: Bacterial large subunit ribosomal RNA
Source: RNAcentral
CGCCGAGCCGAUUGUGGCGAAGUGGGUGAUCCUAUGCUGCCGAGAAAAGCCUCUAGUGAGUGUUGCGGCGGCCCGUACCCUAAACCGACUCAGGUGGUCAGGUAGAGAAUACUGAGGCGUUCGGGUGAACUGUGGUUAAGGAACUCGGCAAAUUGCCCCCGUAACUUCGGGAGAAGGGGGGCCUCUGCUGGUGAGGGCACGUGCUGCCUGGAGCUGGUGGGGGUCGCAGAGGCCAGGGGGAAGCGACUGUUUACUAAAAACACAGGUCCGUGCUAAGUCGUAAGACGAUGUAUACGGACUGACGCCUCCCCGGUGCUGGAACGUUAAGGGGACCGGUUAGCUGCAUUCGUGUGGCGAGGCUGAGAACUUAAGCGCCAGUAAACGGCGGUGGUAACUAUAACCAUCCUAAGGUAUCGAAAUUCCUUGUCGGGUAAGUUCUGACCUGCACGAAUGGCGUAACGACUUCCCCGCUGUCUCAACCGCAGACCCGGUGAAAUUGCACUACGAGUAAAGAUGCUCGUUACGCGCAGCAGGACGGAAAGACCCCGGGACCUUCACUACAGCUUGACAUUGGUGUUUGGGACGGCUUGUGUAGGAUAGGUGGGAGACUGGGAAGCUGUCACGCUAGUGAUGGUGGAGUCAUUGGUGAAAUACCACUCUGGUCGUUUUGGAUGUCUAACCCGCGCCCGUGGAUCCGGGUGGGGGACAGUGUCUGGUGGGUAGUUUAACUGGGGCGGUUGCCUCCUAAAGGGUAACGGAGGCGCCCAAAGGUUCCCUCAGCCUGGUUGGCAAUCAGGUUUCGAGUGUAAGUGCACAAGGGGGCUUGACUGUGAGACUGACGGGUCGAGCAGGAGCGAAAGCUGGGACUAGUGAUCCGGCACCGACGUGUGGAAGUGGUGUCGCUCAACGGCUAAAAGGUACCCCGGGGAUAACAGGCUGAUCUUCCCCAAGAGUCCAUAUCGACGGGAUGGUUUGGCACCUCGAUGUCGGCUCGUCGCAUCCUGGGGCUGGAGUAGGUCCCAAGGGUUGGGCUGUUCGCCCAUUAAAGCGGUACGCGAGCUGGGUUUAGAACGUCGCGAGACAGUUCGGUCCCUAUCCGCUGCGCGCGCAGGAGACUUGAGAGAGGCUGUCCCUAGUACGAGAGGACCGGGACGGACGAACCUCUGGUGUGCCAGUUGUUCUGCCAAGGGCAUGGCUGGUUGGCUACGUUCGGAAGGGAUAACCGCUGAAAGCAUCUAAGCGGGAAGCUCGUCUCGAGAUGAGGUCUCCCACCACGAGAGUGGGUAAGGCUCCCGGUAGACGACCGGGUUGAUAGGCCGGGUGUGGAAGCGCGGUAACGUGUGGGGCUGACCGGUACUAAUAGGCCGAGGACUUGACC